RNAcentral lists this ribosomal RNA (521 nucleotides) under uncultured endophytic bacterium. RNAcentral describes it as "bacterial SSU rRNA". It matches the Rfam family "Bacterial small subunit ribosomal RNA", at positions 8 to 524 of the family's 1533-position model. The record is from RNAcentral.
AGAGUUUGAUCCUGGCUCAGAUUGAACGCUGGCGGCAGGCCUAACACAUGCAAGUCGAGCGGAUGAAGAGAGCUUGCUCUCUGAUUCAGCGGCGGACGGGUGAGUAAUGCCUAGGAAUCUGCCUGGUAGUGGGGGACAACGUCUCGAAAGGGACGCUAAUACCGCAUACGUCCUACGGGAGAAAGCAGGGGACCUUCGGGCCUUGCGCUAUCAGAUGAGCCUAGGUCGGAUUAGCUAGUUGGUGAGGUAAUGGCUCACCAAGGCGACGAUCCGUAACUGGUCUGAGAGGAUGAUCAGUCACACUGGAACUGAGACACGGUCCAGACUCCUACGGGAGGCAGCAGUGGGGAAUAUUGGACAAUGGGCGAAAGCCUGAUCCAGCCAUGCCGCGUGUGUGAAGAAGGUCUUCGGAUUGUAAAGCACUUUAAGUUGGGAGGAAGAGCAGUAAAUUAAUACUUUGCUGUUUUGACGUUACCGACAGAAUAAGCACCGGCUAACUCUGUGCCAGCAGCCGCGGUAAU